CCUACGGGAGGCAGCAGUGGGGAAUAUUGCACAAUGGGGGAAACCCUGAUGCAGCGACGCCGCGUGAGUGAUGAAGUAAUUCGUUAUGUAACGCUCUAUCAGCAAGGAAGAAAAUGACGGUACCUGAGCAAUAAGCCCCGGCUAACUCCGUGCCAGCCGCCGCGGUAAGACGGAGGGGGCAAGCGUGAACCGGAUUUACUGGGUGGAAAGGGAGCGUAGACGGCUGUGCAAGUCUGGAGUGAAAGGCGGGGGCUCAACCCUCGGACUGCUAUUGAAACUGUACGGCUGGAGUGCAGGAGAGGUAGGUGGAAUUCCUGGUGUAGCGGUGAAAUGCUUAGAUAUUAGGAGGAACCCCAGUGGCGAAGGCGGCUUACUGGACUGUAACUGACGUUGAGGCUCGAAAGCGUGGGGAGCAAACAGGAUUAGAUACCCGUGUAGUC
Molecule: ribosomal RNA, 440 nt
Filed under: uncultured bacterium
Lineage: Bacteria
Description: partial 16S ribosomal RNA
Rfam family: Bacterial small subunit ribosomal RNA
Source: RNAcentral